CCUCAAUCUACAUUUGCCAUUAAAUUGCAAAAAGAUGAACUUUUGACAAAUCACUAGUGCUGACAGUAUAACCCUCUUCUCCUUCCAACACAUAAUAAUACAAGUACCUCACUUUUUUAAAAGAAAAGAUGAAAGCUUUAGGUACUAAUAAUGUAUCCUGAAUUUUUUUUACCUAGGAGAUUGGUCUUUUUUUAAACAAAAAAUUCAUUUGUGUGUUCUCUACAGUAUAGACAGUGGCUUUAGAAAUAAAGUGAUGCAAAUUUAUAGUGAAAAAGCACUUCAAAAUAUCACCAUAGUUUCACUGCAUCACUAGAAUAAUCUCU
RNAcentral lists this long non-coding RNA (323 nucleotides) under Bos taurus (domestic cattle). Its description in RNAcentral is "long non-coding RNA NONBTAT019476". Lineage: Eukaryota; Metazoa; Chordata; Mammalia; Artiodactyla; Bovidae. The record is from RNAcentral.